Molecule: ribosomal RNA, 938 nt
Filed under: uncultured bacterium
Lineage: Bacteria
Description: bacterial SSU rRNA
Rfam family: Bacterial small subunit ribosomal RNA
Source: RNAcentral
UGGCGGCGUGGAUAAGACAUGCAAGUCGCACGGGAUUGAUUGAGUAGUAAUACGAGAUCAGUCUAGUGGCGCACGGGUGAGUAACAUGUGAAUUACAUGCCCUUCAGUGGGGAAUAGCCCAGGGAAACUUGGAUUAAUACCCCAUGGUAUCGCAAGAUUAAAGGUGGCCAGCAAUGGCUGUCGCUGAAGGAUUGGUUCGCACCCUAUCAGCUUGUUGGCGGGGUAAUGGCCCACCAAGGCUACGACGGGUACCUGGUCUGAGAGGACGAUCAGGCACACUGGAACUGAGACACGGUCCAGACACCUACGGGUGGCAGCAGUCGAGAAUAAUUCACAAUGGGGGCAACCCUGAUGGUGCAACGCCGCGUGGAGGAUGACGGUCUUCGGAUUGUAAACUCCUGUCAUCUGGGAGUAAGACCUGGCGAUGAAUAGUCGACAGGGUUGAUAGUACCAGAAGAGGAAGGGACGGCUAACUUCGUGCCAGCAGCCGCGGUAAUACGAAGGUCCCAAGCGUUGUUCGGAAUCACUGGGCGUAAAGGGAGCGUAGGCGGCGUGGUAAGUCAGAUGUGAAAUCCCGGGGCUCAACCCCGGAACUGCAUCCGAUACUGCCAUGCUAGAGGAUUGGAGAGGUAGCUGGAAUUCUUGGUGUAGCAGUGAAAUGCGUAGAGAUCAAGAGGAACACUCGUGGCGAAAGCGAGCUACUGGACAAUUCCUGACGCUGAGGCUCGAAGGCUAGGGUAGCGAAAGGGAUUAGAUACCCCUGUAGUCCUAGCAGUAAACGGUGCACGCUUGGUGUGAGGGGAAUCGACCCCCCUUGUGCCGGAGCUAACGCGUUAAGCGUGCCGCCUGGGAAGUACGGUCGCAAGACUAAAACUCAAAGAAAUUGACGGGGACCCGCACAAGCGGUGGANUAUGUGGCUUAANUUCGAUGCAACGCG